CUACGGGGGGCUGCAGUGGGGAAUUUUGCGCAAUGGGGGCAACCCUGACGCAGCAAUACCGCGUGAGUGAAGAAGGCCUUUGGGUCGUAAAGCUCUUUUCUAAGGGAAGAUAGUGACGGUACCUUAGGGAUAAGCACCGGCUAACUCCGUGCCAGCAGCCGCGGUAAUACGGAGGGUGCGAGCGUUGUUCGGAUUUACUGGGCGUAAAGGGCACGUAGGCGGCCUAGCAAGUUAAGGGUGAAAUCCCGGGGCUCAACUCCGGAACUGCUCUUAAAACUGCUAAGCUAGAGAUAGUCAGAGGCGGGUGGAAUUCCAGGUGUAGAGGUGAAAUUCGUAGAUAUCUGGAGGAACACCGGUGGCGAAGGCGGCCCGCUGGGGCUAUUCUGACGCUGAGGUGCGAAAGCGUGGGGAGCGAACGGGAUUAGAUACCCUGGUAGUC
This 439-nucleotide ribosomal RNA is filed under the name uncultured bacterium. RNAcentral's name for it is "partial 16S ribosomal RNA". It matches the Rfam family "Bacterial small subunit ribosomal RNA", at positions 339 to 795 of the family's 1533-position model. The record is from RNAcentral.